RNAcentral lists this ribosomal RNA (473 nucleotides) under uncultured bacterium. RNAcentral's name for it is "bacterial SSU rRNA". It matches the Rfam family "Bacterial small subunit ribosomal RNA", at positions 335 to 801 of the family's 1533-position model. The record is from RNAcentral.
ACUCCUACGGGAGGCAGCAGUGGGAAGUAUUGCACAAUGGGCGCAAGCCUGAUGGAGCAACACCGCGUGAGUGAAGAAGGGUUUCGGCUCGUAAAGCUCUGUUGUUAAAGAAGAACACGUAUGAGAGUAACUGUUCAUACGUUGACGGUAUUUAACCAGAAAGUCACGGCUAACUACGUGCCAGCAGCCGCGGUAAUACGUAGGUGGCAAGCGUUAUCCGGAUUUAUUGGGCGUAAAGAGAGUGCAGGCGGUUUUCUAAGUCUGAUGUGAAAGCCUUCGGCUUAACCGGAGAAGUGCAUCGGAAACUGGAUAACUUGAGUGCAGAAGAGGGUAGUGGAACUCCAUGUGUAGCGGUGGAAUGCGUAGAUAUAUGGAAGAACACCAGUGGCGAAGGCGGCUACCUGGUCUGCAACUGACGCUGAGACUCGAAAGCAUGGGUAGCGAACAGGAUUAGAUACCCUGGUAGGAUAGCG